RNAcentral lists this ribosomal RNA (220 nucleotides) under Escherichia coli. RNAcentral's name for it is "partial 23S ribosomal RNA". It matches the Rfam family "Bacterial large subunit ribosomal RNA", at positions 138 to 393 of the family's 2925-position model. The record is from RNAcentral. Lineage: Bacteria; Pseudomonadati; Pseudomonadota; Gammaproteobacteria; Enterobacterales; Enterobacteriaceae.
UUUCGACACACUAUCAUUAACUGAAUCCAUAGGUUAAUGAGGCGAACCGGGGGAACUGAAACAUCUAAGUACCCCGAGGAAAAGAAAUCAACCGAGAUUCCCCCAGUAGCGGCGAGCGAACGGGGAGGAGCCCAGAGUCUGAAUCAGUGUGUGUGUUAGUGGAAGCGUCUGGAAAGGCGCGCGAUACAGGGUGACAGCCCCGUACACAAAAAUGCACAUA